UGCUCAGAAAUGUCUUUCACAGAUGAGA
RNAcentral lists this non-coding RNA (28 nucleotides) under Rattus norvegicus (Norway rat). Lineage: Eukaryota; Metazoa; Chordata; Mammalia; Rodentia; Muridae. The record is from RNAcentral.